CAAGUCGCACGAGAAAGGGAGCAAUCCUAAGUAAAGUGGCGCACGGGUGAGUAACACGUGGAUCAUCUACCUUUUAGUGGGGAAUACCUCUGGGAAACCGGAGACAAUACCGCAUAAGCCUGUAAAGGGAAAGCAGCAAUGCGCUGAAAGAGGAGUCCGCGGCCGAUUAGCUAGUUGGCGGGGUAACGGCCCACCAAGGCGAAGAUCGGUAGCCGGCCUGAGAGGGCACACGGCCACACUGGCGCUGAAACACGGGCCAGACUCCUACGGGAGGCAGCAGUGGGGAAUCUUGCACAAUGGGCGAAAGCCUGAUGCAGCGACGCCGCGUGAGCGAUGAAGCCCUUCGGGGUGUAAAGCUCUUUCGACGGGAACGAUAAUGACGGUACCCGGAGAAGAAGCUGCGGCUAACUACGUGCCAGCAGCCGCGGUAAUACGUAGGCAGCGAGCGUUGUUCGGAAUUACUGGGCGUAAAGAGUGUGUAGGCGGUGUUCCCAGUCUGUUGUGAAAUCUCCCGGCUUAACUGGGAGGGUGCAGCGGAAACUAGAAUGCUAGAGGGUGGGAGAGGUAAGCGGAAUUCCUGGUGUAGCGGUGAAAUGCGUAGAUAUCAGGAGGAACACCUGUGGUGUAGACAGCUUACUGGACCACUUCUGACGCUGAGACACGAAAGCGUGGGUAGCAAACAGGAUCAGAUACCCUGGUAGUCCACGCCCUAAACGAUGCAUACUUGGUGUGAGCGAUUCAUUUCGUUCGUGCCGGAGCUAACGCGUUAAGUAUGCCGCCUGGGGAGUACGGUCGCAAGGCUGAAACUCAAAGGAAUUGACGGGGGCCCGCACAAGCGGUGGAGCAUGUGGUUCAAUUC
RNAcentral lists this ribosomal RNA (859 nucleotides) under uncultured Bacillota bacterium. RNAcentral describes it as "bacterial SSU rRNA". It matches the Rfam family "Bacterial small subunit ribosomal RNA", at positions 58 to 952 of the family's 1533-position model. The record is from RNAcentral. Lineage: Bacteria; Bacillati; Bacillota.